This 3191-nucleotide long non-coding RNA is filed under the name Triticum aestivum (bread wheat). Its description in RNAcentral is "long non-coding RNA (TAES_LNC008816)". The record is from RNAcentral. Lineage: Eukaryota; Viridiplantae; Streptophyta; Magnoliopsida; Poales; Poaceae.
CUGCAGGAGAACCUCAUGGACGCUGCUUAACUCAACAUGAAUGAAACUGAACCUGGGGUUUCUCUUUCGAUUGCUACAUGUGUGACUGCAGGAGAUCAACUUCCUUCUCAACCGAUGGGUAAGCCUCCUGGUCCACUCAAGUUCUGAACCAAAUAAGAAAAAUUAUCAAUCUUGUUCGCUGCAUAUGCAAUGAUGGUUGAUGAUUCAGUUUUUCACUUGUGUAAUCUUUGUUUACUCUGCUAAAGGGCUGCCCUAGUUAGUUUGUUUUGAUAGGGUCCUUACUGCAUAUGCUGCUGGAAUCUAAUUUGACCUGUUAAGAAUGAGUGUCAAUCAAUCAAACACAAGGAAAUUAAAUGCUCACUGUUUCUCAUAGUGAUUGUUGUGUCGUGUAUAGGUCAAACUAGUGCUGCCCUUGUCUACUUUUGAGGCAUCAACAUGUGUUGCCAUGGUUUUGGUUUUGGUUUCCGGUUGAUGCAUGGUUGGUGUGCUAGCUGUUCGUUAGUACCUGCUGGUUGUUACUAUUGCUCUUUUGAGUCAGUUUCCCUGCGUGAGACAGAUUUCUUUCUUGAUGUACCAAUCCUCAAUUAAUGCCUCAUGAAGCUCUUUUUGUAUGCAACCUUCUGUUCAAAUAUUUGUACUCCCUCCGAUCCAUAUUAAUUGACGCUAGUUUAGUAGAAAAGUUUAACUUUGUACUAAACCAACGUCAAUUAAUAUGGAUCAGAGGGAGUACAUGAUUUUGAUUUACGAAACUUACAAAUGAUUUGCAAGUUGGACUGGAUGUUUUUGAGAAGAUUUCUUGCUGUAGGACCUGGUGCAUGUCUUCUGAAAUCUGACUAGGAGACGUAUUCUUCACAUCUAAUCAAGAUUUGUUUGUUUGAGAGUUCUAAAGAAAGUAGGAAUGUUCCUGUGCUUUUCCGAAACAGAGUUAGAGUGCUCAAGCGUGCGCCAAGGUUCUAACAUUUUCUCGAACGCUUUGUGCUGGUAUGUAUGUCACAUCUUGCUUCCAUUGCAGUCUCAACACCCACUUUGCGUUUCUGCAAUCACUAAUUAUACUCCAGUUUGGUGGGUUCCAAAUGUUGUUGUUGCACAUGUAAAAGAAAGGGAUUCAGGCUACACAUCUACCUUCUGGAUGUAUCUAUCUCACUGCCUUUUGCUGUUCCACUCUGGUUUUGCUUACUUUCUAAAAUGUGUGUUUUAAUAAUAAUGUUUAUAAAGGCUGGAGAUGUACCAUUUCUCUCACCUCAGCUUCUUAUCAUUGCCGGACAUAUGCCCCCUUCUUUUGGGUGAUGGUGAUUUCAUAUUAAUCAUGGAAUAAAAUAACAUGCUACGGGAGCAGAAACUAUUCACUUAACUAUUUAAGGCCAAGAAGUAUAAAUCGAGGCACCUCCUCUCCUCUCCUCCCGUUGAUGCUUGAUUGUUACCUAGAAUAAAGAUUGUUUUCAGGAACAUGAAAGUAUUACCGUUUGUUAGGACAUGAUGACUGUUUGUUUACUGCUUUAUGAUUUUGUGUAGAGUUGCGUCCUCCUUGUCCCCUUUUACCCAAGGCCAUCUUGUUGUGUCAAUGGUUGUGUUGCCGUUUCAAGUUUUGUGUAUGUGCAUAUGUACAUAGCAGUAGACUAGACUGUUGUGAUCGUAUAUUACCACCGUCCCUUCUUAGAUUUAUCUAGAUACGGAUGUAUCUAACACUAAAACGUGUCUAUACAUCCGUAUCUAGACAAAUCUAAGACAAGAAUUUUGGGACGGAGGCAAGGUUUUCGUGUUGUCGAGUCGUUCUGGGGUAGCGACUCUUGACGAGUUGUGCCUGGCUGAUCGACUAGUCUCUACUAGUUGAGAGGUUGAGUCGACAUCUGGCAGUGCGGCUCGUCGACUAGUCGCGUGGAUGGAGUACUUGCUUUGCAGCCUGACAAGACAAUAUUGUGUUUGCUGGAAACUGAACUCUCUUCUAUGUUUGGUUGAUGCAGUUCCUUCCAUUAAUUUAUUUGUUUCUUCGAUUUGGAUGCAACAUGUUCCCUUCAUGAACGAGGACAUGGGCAUGUACCUCGACGGUGAGCUCAUCCAUCACUACCACCUCGACUCUGUGCGCAAGGUCAAUUCCUCUCUCUCGUCUAUGAGGUUUUUUUUUCAAGUUUUGUCUUCUCCAUUGUAGCCUGCUAGUUUCUGUUCUGGUCCUGAAACCAAACUAGGUAGGAUGGCCUUGUGACCUCCUGAAUGUCGAGGCUUUGGUUGUCAUAUCGUGUUUGGUUGAUCCUGUAUGAUGUGUACUCGCUUGAUGGACACCUAUUAGCUAAGGUUCUCAUAUCAUGUUUGGUGCUCAUAUGUGCUUGCUUAAUGGUUCUCAUAUCAUGUUUGGUGGAUCCUUUAUCAUGUUAGGUUCUCAUUAGCUAAGAUUGUUAUGUUUUGCUACUGAAUCGUAUUUCAUCAGUCUGCACGUGAUCAAGCUCACUCUUAUUAUUAAUUGCCAACAAUUGCUACUGGAUACACACAGUUUUUCCCAUGUUAUUAUCGAUGUUCUGCUCUAGGACGGUUUCUAGACACUCGCAUUGUGUGUGCUCCUCUUCACACUAGACUCUUUACUUUCUAUCUCAUGUUCAUAGCGUUCUAGUUUGUCGACGACAUAGUAUCCCCUGUGAUCUCUUAGUGAAAUGAGAGGUUUGAUUGAUGCUGUAUAGGAUUGGCUAGUUUUGCUUAAUGCCAUAUGUCUUGUGCAAUCAAAUUACAUUUCUGUUUGUUAUGGUAAUAUAAAAAAUAAUCAUGCUGUCAAAAUUUUCACAGUGCGUGCCUUUUAUUUCUUUAGUUUGACUGUUUCCCUUGUAUUCAAUAUGCUUCUAAUGCCUGAUCCUUUCAUUUUUGUUCUGGCAUCUUUAUUUUCACAGGUGUUGUGUGUCCUAGAAGAUGGAAGAGGAAGAAAACUUAUUUUUGUUGAACUAAAUUUUCUGUAUUCUGUUUUGUUGUACGUAUCAUUUGAUAGUUUUGUAUAGGAACAAGUGAUACUAUUUUAAAGGGCUUUAUGGCCUGUGAUGUAAACAUAUUUAGUGCUGAAAUAUGAAAUUAUUUGCAAAAUUUGUCGAAAAGGAGGAUCAUUUGUAUGAAUAUGUGAAUGGGCUGAAAAGAGUAUUGGACCAACUCCUGGAUUGAAUUAUUAUUUGAAUGUAUAAAAAGGCUGAAUGUAAACCAGAAAUGGGCUGCAAAAA